GAAUUUUGGACAAUGGGCGAAAGCCUGAUCCAGCAAUGCCGCGUGCAGGAUGAAGGCCUUCGGGUUGUAAACUGCUUUUGUACGGAACGAAAAGCUUUGGGUUAAUACACUGGAGUCAGGCCGGUACCGUAAGAAUAAGCACAGGCUAACUACGUUCCAGGCGCCGCGGUAAUACGUAGGGUGCAAGCGUGAAUCGGAAUUACUGUGCGUGAAGCGUGCGCUGGCGGUUUUGUAAGACAGAGGUGAAAGCCCCGGGCUCAACCUGGGAACUGCCUUUGUGACUGCAAGGCUAGAGUACGGCAGAGGGGGGUGGAAUUCCGCGUGUAGCAGUGAAAUGCGUAGAUAUGCGGAGGAACACCGAUGGCGAAGGCAACCCCCUGGGCCUGUACUGACGCUCAUGCACGCAAGCGUGGGGAGCAAACAGG
RNAcentral lists this ribosomal RNA (425 nucleotides) under uncultured bacterium. RNAcentral's name for it is "partial 16S ribosomal RNA". It matches the Rfam family "Bacterial small subunit ribosomal RNA", at positions 359 to 776 of the family's 1533-position model. The record is from RNAcentral.